AUUUCUGGAAGGACUGUGUUGUGAUUUACGUGGGGUCUCCAGCACUUCCUGGGUCUGCUGUCUGCUUAAUAUCUACCAAAUGCAUGAAUGAACUAAACAAAUAACUGUAUAAGGAUCAUCUCAGUACAGCAGGGAGAACUCACAUGUGGGUGAAUCCAACCAUGAACCUGACAUCUACUGUGUCUGUGAUAAAAAGAAAAUACUAAAAAAAAAAAAGAAAG
Molecule: long non-coding RNA, 221 nt
Filed under: Canis lupus familiaris (dog)
Lineage: Eukaryota; Metazoa; Chordata; Mammalia; Carnivora; Canidae
Description: lncRNA (ENSCAFG00030007410.1)
Source: RNAcentral